RNAcentral lists this ribosomal RNA (421 nucleotides) under uncultured bacterium. Its description in RNAcentral is "bacterial SSU rRNA". It matches the Rfam family "Bacterial small subunit ribosomal RNA", at positions 354 to 774 of the family's 1533-position model. The record is from RNAcentral.
GUAAGGAAUAUUGCUCAAUGGGAGAAAUCCUGAAGCAGCAACGCCGCGUGGAGGAUGAAGGGUCUAUGACUUGUAAACUCCUGUAAAGAAGGAAAAAAUUCCCAUUUGAUGGGAGAUGAUGGUACUUCUGGAGUAAGCCCCGGCUAACUACGUGCCAGCAGCCGCGGUAAUACGUAGGGGGCAAGCGUUGUCCGGAUUUACUGGGUGUAAAGGGUGCUCAGGCGGAUUUGUAAGUCAGAGGUGAAAUCUUACAGCUUAACUGUGAAACUGCCUUUGAUACUGCAAGGCUAGAGUAUGGAAGAGAGUGAUGGAAUAUCUGGUGUAGCAGUGAAAUGCGUAGAUAUCAGAUAGAACACCAAUGGCGAAGGCAGUCACUUGGUCCAUUACUGACGCUAAAGCACGAAAGCGUGGGUAGCAAACA